Long non-coding RNA from Acipenser ruthenus (sterlet), 913 nucleotides. RefSeq lists it as uncharacterized. NCBI's taxonomy places the organism in Eukaryota, Metazoa, Chordata, Actinopteri, Acipenseriformes, Acipenseridae. The record is from RefSeq and is a predicted model, not a curated record. The transcript has 2 exons.
UUUUCUUACAUUUUUAUUGCAAGUUUGAAAAAAAAAAACAAAACAAUGAAUUUAUCUGACAAAAAAAGAUCUGUUAAACUUUCCACUAAUACUAAAUUAUAACAUCAUCAUCAUAAUAAUAAUAAUACACAGAAGUGCAGCCUUCCUCAUCCUUCCCUCAUCGUUUUUGUAUUGGUUUGGUUUACACUACGAUGUUAUUCCAGAACGCUACUGAAGAGAGUACAUUUCUACAUGCAGGGUUAAUCUGUAAAAAAGAUACACUUUCUUAAUAUUUUAAUACGUAUCAGAAUAAUGCUUUCUGUAAUAUCAAAAGAUAGACUCUCGUAGUAUUAAGUGAGAUAAAGCCCCCUUCAGAUCAGGGUCGGCUCCUGGUUUUCAGUUCCAGUUCCCUGGGAAGGAAUUGAGUAAAAGGGAAUGGAGGAGACCCUGCGACGAUCUCAUUCCCAGACACAGAGGGAGCGAGGCGGGUCCCAGCGUGCCGGUGGGCUGGGGGUGGAAGCCCUCGCACGUGCAAUCAAAGACACACACAGACAGACAGACACACAGACAUGCUGCUGUGCACGGGAGCCCGUGAUUACAAUAAACACAGUUUUAAUACCUCAGGGGGAGGGGAGCGUGCGUUGGGAAUCUAGAGACACGAGCAGUGGGCUUGGGGCACUGCCAGCAGUACAACCCAUCGAGGAGACAGUGAGUGAGGGAAGGAGCAGAGACACACUGGCAGCACGCACACAGGGAGACAGGUAUGCACGCAGGGAGACAGGUACACACACGGGUACAUGGGCAGACAGGUACGCCUGCAGGGAGAUACACUGGCAUCACGCACACACAGGCAGACAGGUACACACACAGGUACAUGGGCAGACAGGUACGCACGCAGGGAGAUACACUGGCAUCACGCACACACAGGUACACG